Prionailurus viverrinus (fishing cat) is the source of this 4063-nucleotide RNA transcript. It is a transcript of the gene named zinc finger and SCAN domain containing 12, with no coding region annotated. The transcript is spliced from 6 exons. Lineage: Eukaryota; Metazoa; Chordata; Mammalia; Carnivora; Felidae. The record is from RefSeq and is a predicted model, not a curated record.
UGCGCGCGCUCCCUCCCGGCUCGCUUCCGGCCUUUGUGGGGCGCUGUGGGCUGUUUGGGCUCCCGGCGGCUUGGACCGCGUGACCCGUGGUCUCCCCGGGAGGGACCCGGCUGCCGGCCUCGGGAGCUGCAGGUCCACCCUUGCUGGAAGCACCGCUAGAGCUUCUGCACGGCCGCGAUGGCGUCGGCCUGGGCUGCGCCGGCCCACGAGGAACAGGGUGCGCUUCUGGAAGUAAAGGUGGAGGAGGAGGAGGGGUACAGGAAUACCACCAGAUGGGAUCAGAACCUGCAGAAGAACAACACCCACAGCAGGGAGGUCUUCCGACAGUACUUCAGACACUUCUGUUACCAGGAGACGCCUGGACCCCGCGAGGCGCUGCGCCGGCUCCGCGAGCUGUGCCGCCAGUGGCUGAGCCCAGAAACACACACCAAGGAGCAGAUCCUGGAGCUGCUGGUGCUGGAGCAGUUCCUGACCAUCCUGCCCGAGGAGCUCCAGGCCUGGGUGCGGGGACAGCACCCGGAGAGCGGGGACGAGGUGGUGACCGUGCUGGAGGAUCUGGAACGGGAGCUGGACGAGCCUGGAGAGCAGGAUGAGUGUGUCCACUGUGUCCCUGUCCACACUGAGCAACAGGACACGCUCUUGCAGGAGACGGCCCUUGUGGGAACAGGACGGGAGCCCGGCAUGUCCCUCCCAUCCGGGGUUGCCCGGCUGAACUAUGAAUCUCCAGGACCUGGAGCCCAGCCGGAGGAACAAGUUUCAGGUGUUGAGACUGGAAAUAAGUCCAGGGAUUUAACUCUAAAGCAAGAAGUGUCUGGAGAAGCGGCACCACAGGGGAAUAUGUGUAGCGGAUUUGAAAGGGACAUGUCCCAGUCGGCUAGGUGCAGAGAAGCGGACGGAUCCGAAGCAGAAACAGAAGAGUCUUCUGGACGCUCCAGGGAAGGUGAACAGUCUGCGGGUGAGGAGAACAGACUCCGUCUGACUGAACAGCAGAGGGUCUGUCCAGGAGAAAAACCUCAUGAGUGCGAGGAGUGUGGAAAAGCCUUCAGUCAGCACUCGAACCUCUUAGAACAUCAGAGGGUCCACACUGGAGACAGGCCCUACAAAUGUGAGGAAUGUGGGAAAACUUUCCGUGGGAGAACCGUGCUGAUUCGGCACAAAAUAAUACACACCGGAGAGAAACCGUAUAAAUGUAAUGAGUGUGGCAAAGCCUUUGGCCGCUGGUCAGCUCUUAACCAACAUCAGAGGCUCCACACAGGAGAGAAACACUACCACUGUAACGAAUGCGGCAAAGCCUUUAGCCAGAAAGCGGGCCUCUUUCACCAUCUCAAGAUCCACACGAGAGACAAACCAUACCAUUGUGCUCAGUGCAAUAAAAGUUUUAGUCGGCGUUCAAUACUCACUCAACACCAAGGAGUUCACACUGGGGCAAAGCCCUAUGAGUGCAGCGAGUGCGGGAAAGCCUUCGUUUAUAACUCCUCCCUGGUUUCCCACCAGGAGAUCCACCACAAAGAAAAGGGCCAUCAGUGUAAGGAGUGUGGGAAAUCCUUCAGUCAGAGUGGCCUUGUUCAGCAUCAGAGAAUCCACGCUGGGGAGAAACCUUACAAGUGUGACGUAUGUGCAAAAGCAUUUAUUCAGAGGACAAGCCUUGUAGAACAUCAGCGAGUUCACACUGGAGAGAGACCUUACAAGUGUGAUAAGUGUGAGAAGGCCUUCACUCAGAGAUCAGUUCUCACGGAACACCAGAGAACCCACACCGGAGAGAGGCCGUACAAGUGUGACGACUGUGGGAACGCCUUCCGAGGCAUCACCAGCCUCAUUCAGCAUCACAGGAUCCACACUGGGGAGAAACCCUACCGAUGUGACCAGUGCGGCAAAGCCUUCAGACAGAGGAAGAAGACCGACUACAAGGAAAUACUUCUGAAAAACCAGCGUGAACCUCAAGCUGGAGUGAAUCUUCUCCUGAGUGCUCUCAUUCCAGAAUGGCGUUCCUCCUGUGGGAAGGUCCCUAACGUGACUGAUGGCCGAGGGAGAGGGCUGUGCCUGGGACCACGCUGACAAAGAAGUCACGGAUAUUCCUUCAGACUUUUAAGUUGCUACUACCCAAGAUAGCUGCCUGCCCCCCACCCCGGGGCUGCCAGAAGACUCAGAGAACUUUACUUGCAGGUGCUGAGAUCAGAGACAGACCAAGGAGCAGGUGCUGAAAUGGUUAUCCUAAGAAUAAAAAUAAGGACUUGUUUCCAAUUCUGCAGAUGUGAAAUGCUGUGGUGGGAUCUCUCUAGAACUGCAACAUCUAUGCGGUAAGUGUAGCUUUAGUAACUGGUGAGUCCUUACUCCGCAUCAGGGAACACAGGUGCCGCAGAGAACCUCCUUGAGGGCAACAGGUUUGGAAAGGCUUUUCUUUGUAGCGGGUCCCUCCUUUCCUGCCAGGGGAUCCUCCCCAAGGAAAAGUGCUCCGUGUUAGGAGUGGGGGCAUGCUUUCGUGUAUUGUGGCCUUAUUUUACAUCAGAGAAUCCACACAAACGAGAGACUGCAUAGAUGUGGUGACUGUGAGGAGGCCUUCAUUCAGCACAGAACCUCAACGAACUGUACGUGAAGGAAAUGGGAACACCUUGGCCCAGAAGUCAGGACCGACUGCACCAGAGAGUCUACGCAGGAGGGAGAUCUUGUCAGCGGGAUGAAUGUGGGCAUGCUUUGCGUGGAAUCACCAGCUUUAUCAUUCAGCAGUGGAGAAUUCGCACUAAAGAGAAACCCAGACAGUGUGAGGAGUAUGGAAGUCUUCAGGGUGGUUCCACCUUGGUAAACAUCAGUGAAUCCGUAUGAGAGAGGUUCUUAUAAAUGGCAGGAUCACAGGAAGUUGUAUGGGCAGAGACCAAAUCUCAACAACAGAAUCUCCACAGUAUUGAAAAAUUAAUUUAAUGUAGGUGCACAGGUUCCAUUCCCCCAUGGAAUGGGUAUUCUUAAUUGCCCAAUUUGGCCAAUAAAAACAUUCGGUGGAUGCCUCAGGUCAAGAAAAGGAAAGGUCAGCAGUUCUUUCUUGCUAUCUAGAGGAGUCUGUAGAUGUGAGCAACCAGGAAUUUGAAAUGAGCUGCUCACCUGCAUGUCAGGACUUGGGACACUGUCUCCUGCGUGACAGUGCACACUGGGGACAUGUUUCUCCCAGGUCUGCUCUUCUCAGAGCUUCAUUGAACAAGAGCAGUCUACUGUCUACUGUGGUCAUUUUAUUUUACUUGUUUAUGGGCUGAAUAGGUUUGUGUCUGUACCCCAGGACACACAAAUCACAUUUAUAAAGUUUCAGUACAUGUAAUGAAGAACCACGUCAUUAAUUUGUUGGAUGCUCCCCUAAAUUUGGGACUGCUUCUGUGUUCUCCAGCAUAAGGCCGUGCAAGUAUCCUUCAGAGUAUAUAUUUUCCAGCUUUGGUUUAAUUGUUGUUGUUGUUUUUAAGAUAGUGAAAUUGAGAAAUAAUGAUGAAGAUAUUUCCCCUUAUAGAUAAUACAUUAUAUAAUGUGAAGGCUAAUACUUUAUGUAACUUGCUUAUUAUCCUUUUCAGUUCGGAAACAAACUAAAAGGGGAAAAGAUGUUGAGAAGCUUUUCAGCAAGUUGUUAAUAUAGCCCAAUCUCUAUGAGAGAGAAUGAGGCUUAUGUAUUUUAUACUAGGUUACUAAACACAGGAAUACUUAGGAAUAUAGGAAUUUAGGAAUUCCUAAAUAUAGGAAUAAAUAUAGAUUUUAAAACUUUGCAAUGAUUAUUUCAGAAUUCUGAGUGUAUUUGCUGUACAUCCCUAUUUUUUUUUUUUGCAUAGGUAUUACAGUCCAUUUAGUAGAUGGACUGCAUUCUAUAAAAGGUCUUUUUAGCAUCUAUAGAAAUCACAUUUUUUUAAAAUUAUUUUUUAACUUCAUUAUUAUAUUAUGUGCAAGGAUUUUCUAAUAUUGAACCAACAUUGCAUUCCUGCAAUAAGUCCUGCUUAUUCUUGGUGUAUUCUUUUCUUAAUGUGUUAAUGAGUUUGACUGCUAAUAUUUUAUUUACUCCAUUUUCUUCAAUGUUUAUAUGAAAUUGGUCUGUAAU